Non-coding RNA from Eptesicus fuscus (big brown bat), 98 nucleotides. The record is from RefSeq and is marked provisional. NCBI's taxonomy places the organism in Eukaryota, Metazoa, Chordata, Mammalia, Chiroptera, Vespertilionidae.
UCGCCCGGACCCAGGGGUGCGUGGCCUCUCUCAGACCCAGGGGCACGUGGCCUCACCUGGACCUAGGUGCAUGAGGCCUCACCCGGAUCCAGGGACAC